AUUGAACGCUGGCGGCAUGCCUAACACAUGCAAGUCGAGCGGAGCUGCGGACGGGUGAGUAAUGCCUAGGAAUCUGCCUGUGAGUGGGGGAUAACUUCCGGAAACGGGCGCUACUACCGCAUACUACCAGUGGAGCCUAGGUCGGAUUAGCUAGUUGGUGGGGUAAAGGCCUACCAAGGCGACGAUCCGUAACUGGUCUGAGAGGAUGAUCAGUCAAACUGGAACUGAGAAACGGUCAAGACUCCUACGGGAGGCAGCAGUGGGGAAUAGUGGACAAUGGGCGAAAGCCUGAUCCAGCCAGGCCGCGUGGGUGAAGAAGGUCUUCGGAUUGUAAAGCUCUUUAAGUUGGGAGGCGUUACCAACAGAAUAAGCACCGGCUAACUUCGUGCCAGCAGCCGCGGUAAUUC
Molecule: ribosomal RNA, 407 nt
Filed under: uncultured bacterium
Lineage: Bacteria
Description: partial 16S ribosomal RNA
Rfam family: Bacterial small subunit ribosomal RNA
Source: RNAcentral